RNAcentral lists this ribosomal RNA (393 nucleotides) under Veillonella parvula. RNAcentral describes it as "bacterial SSU rRNA". It matches the Rfam family "Bacterial small subunit ribosomal RNA", at positions 104 to 473 of the family's 1533-position model. Lineage: Bacteria; Bacillati; Bacillota; Negativicutes; Veillonellales; Veillonellaceae. The record is from RNAcentral.
GGGUGAGUAACGCGUAAUCAACCUGCCCUUCAGAGGGGGACAACAGUUGGAAACGACUGCUAAUACCGCAUACGAUCUAAUCUCGGCAUCGAGGAUAGAUGAAAGGUGGCCUCUACAUGUAAGCUAUCACUGAAGGAGGGGAUUGCGUCUGAUUAGCUAGUUGGAGGGGUAACGGCCCACCAAGGCGAUGAUCAGUAGCCGGUCUGAGACGAUGAACGGCCACAUUGGGACUGAGACACGGCCCAGACUCCUACGGGAGGCAGCAGUGGGGAAUCUUCCGCAAUGGACGAAAGUCUGACGGAGCAACGCCGCGUGAGUGAUGACCGGCUUCGGGUUGUAAAGCUCUGUUAAUCGGGACGAAAGGCCUUCUUGCGAAUAGUGAGAAAGAUUGAC